RNAcentral lists this ribosomal RNA (497 nucleotides) under uncultured bacterium. Its description in RNAcentral is "partial 16S ribosomal RNA". It matches the Rfam family "Bacterial small subunit ribosomal RNA", at positions 28 to 507 of the family's 1533-position model. The record is from RNAcentral.
GACGAACGCUGGCGGCGUGCCUAAUACAUGCAAGUAGAACGCUGAAGAGAGGAGCUUGCUCUUCUUGGAUGAGUUGCGAACGGGUGAGUAACGCGUAGGUAACCUGCCUUGUAGCGGGGGAUAACUAUUGGAAACGAUAGCUAAUACCGCAUAACAAUGGAUGACCCAUGUCAUUUAUUUGAAAGGGGCAAAUGCUCCACUACAAGAUGGACCUGCGUUGUAUUAGCUAGUAGGUGAGGUAACGGCUCACCUAGGCGACGAUACAUAGCCGACCUGAGAGGGUGAGCGGCCGCCCUGGGACGGAGACACGGCCCAGACUCCCACGGGAGGCAGCAGUAGGGAAUCGUCGGCAAUGGGGGGAACCCUGACCGAGCAACGCCGCGGGAGGGAAGAAGGUUUUCGGGUCGGAAAGCUCUGUUGUAAGUCAAGAACGAGUGUGAGAGUGGAAAGUUCACACUGUGACGGUAGCUGACCAGAAAGGGACGGCUAACUACGUG